UUUACAUCCGAAGGCGAAAUGAAAGUGAGCCCGGAGCUACGGGCAGGCCGAUCCCCUGUCGGCGUUGGUCUGGCGGCCUGGCAGCAGCUUUUUUUUAGAUGAGAGAGUCUUUGCUGCCUGUGCUGCUGGUACUGGCGUCGGCGGCCGGUCCUGUAAAAGGGAUCGGAGAUGGGGCGCAGGCCGAGGACUUGCCAUAGUGCGGCGCGGGCAACGGGGUCCUAGUGGCUCUUAUCCCGACGUCCGUCGGCAAGUACCUGAGAGCGCCACCGUUGGGACCCGAAAGAUGGUGAACUAUGCCUGGCAAGGACGAAGCCAGAGGAAACUCUGGUGGAGGUCCGAAGCAGUUCUGACGUGCAAAUCGAUUGUCAGAGCUGGGUAUAGGGGCG
RNAcentral lists this ribosomal RNA (386 nucleotides) under Ancylomenes pedersoni. Its description in RNAcentral is "eukaryotic LSU rRNA". It matches the Rfam family "Eukaryotic large subunit ribosomal RNA", at positions 701 to 925 of the family's 3401-position model. Lineage: Eukaryota; Metazoa; Arthropoda; Malacostraca; Decapoda; Palaemonidae. The record is from RNAcentral.